This 11987-nucleotide unclassified non-coding RNA is filed under the name Dermacentor andersoni. RNAcentral's name for it is "dual specificity protein phosphatase 22-like". The record is from RNAcentral. Lineage: Eukaryota; Metazoa; Arthropoda; Arachnida; Ixodida; Ixodidae.
CAACCAGCCGCGGCCGCCAGGGGGCGCGGAGGCAGUGGAGCCGCGGGCCUGCGCGAGACGGGGCCAUCGAUUGGGGAGGGCCGGCGCUAAUCGAAAGCGCCGCGUAGAGGUACACCAGCUGGGCCGGCGGAGCGCGUGCGGUCCCCUGGCCCGCAAUGCAUGGCAGCGCGGCCUACGCGCACGACGUCCCACCGACGCCCGCCGCGCCAGCGCGCCCCGUCCGAUGCCCAGCCUCGACGCCCACGCGAUCCCGACCGCGCCCGCUGGAGAGUCCGGUCGGGCUGCAGCAGACCGCAGCUGAGAACCCCUGCACCAUGAAGCCACGGAGGGCCCUGCUUCAACCAACAACAUGGGUAAUGGCAUGAACAAGGUGCUGCCGGGGGUGUACAUUGGCAACUUCCGAGACUCCAAGGACCCCGAGCAGCUCCAGGCCAACAACAUCACGCACAUCAUAUCCAUCCACGACACGGCCAGGAAGCUGCACGAGGACAAAGAAUACCUCUGCAUCCAGGCGUCAGACACCCCCGGCCAGAACCUGUCGCAGUUCUUUUCCCAAUCCAAUGACUUCAUCCACCACGCUCGAAUGGAAGGCGGCAACGUCCUCAUCCACUGCCUCGCAGGGGUGUCUCGCAGCGUGACGAUCGCCGUGGCCUACGUGAUGUCCGUGACCAGCCUUAACUGGCGUGAGGCACUCAAGGCCGUGCGUGGAGCCCGGAGUAUCGCGAACCCGAACUUCGGGUUCCAGAAACAACUGCACGAGUACGAGUGCAGGAAACUGUAUGAGGAGCGCAAGAGGCUACGGCAGAAGUUCCCGCGCGAGAGCUUCUGUGAAGACGAGCAGGAGUGCCGCAAGCUACUCGCGGCCUACCACAACUCGGUGCGGCCCCUGGAGCCCAGUCCGAGCAUCUGCCGGCGUUCGGGCACCCAGGGCUUGACACCACCCUCGUCGCCCCGCAGGCGCCGCCACCGCAGCCCGUCUCCGUCGGCCGGCCCCUCAACGAGCUACGCCAGGCCGCCCUGAGAGCGGCCCGGACACCCGACGGGUGGUUGCAGCUCGCCGGGCCAGCCUGGUUCACACGGGUGGCCAUGCUCCUUCACCUGCACGUUUGACCCGCGUCAUGCAUUGCUACUACCCGCUAGGAAGUCAGUCUCGCCCCAAUAUGGCGGCGCAGCGGGCUCAGUGUAUGUGUCGGAGGACCCAUUGAGCGAAACUGAUGCCUUCUCUGUUCAUGGCCGCGCUGAAUUCGCGAGAGGUCAAGCUGUUCGUCCGACCAAGAAAAAAAAACUGGAAAAGAAACGGAGGCGAUUUAGCGUACAAGCUUUGGCUGCCGAAGUUACGCACAAAAGCGUUUUGAGAUAAAUUAAGUGUAAGAUGAAAAUGAACAAACGAGUAGCGUCGGACGAAAAGCGAAGGCCACUUCUUUUUCACUGUGGCCAUGUUUCAAUUUUAUCGAACUACCGGCGAAAUCGAAACCCCCGGGAAACGCGACGUGCUCGCCCUUCCUUUUUGUUCCUUGGUGUGAGGAAGGAAUUCGCAUAUGCUUUGGCUAAAACAAACAGAAAGCGCGAUAACUGCGUUAUGUAGAACAUCAUAUUUUUGUAGUAUAUAACAUAAAGCUUGAUAGCAGUGACGAGAGAAACGACUAUCUGUUUGUAAUAUUAGUUUCCUUGCUAAAAGCGCUCCAAGCAGGUCGCUUUCUUUAUUGUAUUGUGUGCGCGUGAUAUGGUUGUCUCCCUCUUGAUUAUAUUCUAUUCUGUAAGCGACGUGGUUAGUCUGCAGGGGUUAAUGCAGCUGUCGUAGGUCAAUGAAUGUCGAUCAAAAUAGCGUGUUUGACACGGUGUGGAUCUACGCGAAUUGAGAAUGUAGGAACCGGAAAAUCAGUGCUCAAAACAACGACGAAUGACGUGGACAGGUUGGCGUCUUGCGCAUCCGAUUAGGCGCAAGAACGUUGGUUCAGAGUUUUAUUUAGUGCUGUUUCAAGUUCCCCUAGUUGUUCAUGGUUGUUACGAAAACAUAGCAUACGUACUAGCAAUGUAGCUUGUUUCAACGAUGACCAUCGUUUUGAAGUAGAUAGCAAAGAUUGUUCUCAUGGCAGGCAAAAUUAUAUCAAAAAGGUGCUUAGCAUACCUCACCUGCUUGAAAGAGACGCUUGUUGUUGCUAGGAGAGCAAAAAUAUGUGUUGUGACAUGUUCCACUGACGUAGCUCACGCCGCUCAUGGGAGUUCGGUUGAUGUCAAAUCUUGUGGUGCCUUUCUUGUUCGAGACUGCCUCAGUGUUGUUGGUUCGUUUAUUGGCAGUUACCGCUGAGUUGUAUGAUGUUAAGACAUGUUCAAGCGGUCGUACGUGAAGGGUGUCGCAAUGUAGGUUGACACCCAUGUCGGUGCACGGUCAAAGACACUUUGGGCUGCGCACGUACAACAACCGUCCAUACCUUAUCGCGCGUAUCCUUCCUUGAAGGUAGAAGAGGCAAGUGACAGGGAUAGCCUUUGUGCUCAGCCGUGAGAAGGUGCAAGAGGCUGCUCUCUGCGCUGUAUCCAACGUGACUGGGAUUCUUGCUAAGCCUCAAUAAACCCCGUAGCAUUUGGUGGAGGUGCAAGGUACCCUAACGACUCGCCCUUGAACUCCGGAGGCGCGCUCUGCCCGCCGAUGCCGCCAAGGCCAUGCCAGACGAUGCCGGUGAGCAACCCACUUCGUCAACUGGACCAGUCACCUGCGGUGCCGUUCGCCGACAAGACCCAGUUGUAUUCAGUGGCACCGCUGGUACUGACGUCGACGACUGGCUUUCGUCGUACCAACGGGUGAGCAACCACAAGUGGGACGAUCCGACAAAACUCAUCAACGUUAUUUUUUAUCUUGCGGAUGUCGCCAACCUGUGGUUACGAAACCAUGGGGCAACUAUUGCGACAUGAAAUGACACUGCUUUUGUGGAGUAUUUGGCCGUCCGGCUGUGCGAAAGCUUCGCGCCGAAUGCCUCCGCCAAAGAGCUCGACAGCCUGGCGAAAUUUCAUUAGUUAUAUCGAAGACGUCAUCGAUCUCUGCAACCGAGUGAUCCAAACGAUGACCGAGGAAGAUAGGAAUAAUCCUCACGGGCUUUGAAGACGACGCUUUUCAAAUGCUCCUGGCUAAGAAUCCUACCACCAUUGCAGCCGUGGUCACCUAUUGCCAAAGCUUUGACGAAUUACGCCGGUAACGAGCGCUCGCCCGCCAAGCUGUUCUUCACGUGGCCUCCCUUUCCAGUGAAACUUUAUUUGGGCCUAGUUGGUACAUAAUUCUGAACUUGAACUUAGGGGUCUUAGGUGUUUGCGCUGUAAGUUUAAGUCCCUUUCCAGUUUGGCAGCUGCUCCCGGACAGAAUGAUGACGGUCUCUGCUGCCUCAAAUCAAAGCCUUCAUUCGUGAAGCGAUGGCCAGCCAGCUCUCGCUGCUCCUUCUCACCCAGGCGAAUGCCCAACCUUUGUCGUCGGCCGUGCAGCAGUCCAUCCGCGAGCAUGUUGCAGAGCCUCUUCCGCCAGUCCACCAGCAACCUCUGGUUACGGCACCGCUGACGUACGCGAAAGUCACGUUGCGUCCUAGACAGACGGCGCUCCUCUAUUCGACGCCACAGCUGCCCUACUCGACGCGGCUCUACUCCCUGCGCCUCAAAUGCCUCCUCAGUACAUCUGGCCGCGAGGUCCCUGGCGCACGCGGGACAACAAGCCGGUAUGCUCUGCCUGCGGUCUCGCGGGACAUGUGGCACGCUUUUGCCGUUGCCCGCUGCCGCGUUCGGACGACAUCCCUGAACCGCACGUGACUGCAGCCCACCAGGAUGCUGAUUCUAACCCAUCGCCGAACUUCUGAACCGGUCGUCAGAACUUCAGCAGCCGUCGUUCACCAUCACCGCGUCGCCGUUCGAUAUCACCGAUGCCUUGUCGCCCGCCUUCCAACGAGUGAAACUAAGUGCCGCAGCUCCGGAGGCAAGAGCUGCACGCUUGUAGAAAUGUCCAGUACUCUGCAAUCACCGCAAAACAUUAUAGAAAUAAAGGUUUAAGGUGCUGCUACAAUCUCACUAGUCGACACGGGCGCUACGGGGUUUGUUGGCGGUUAGCGGGAACCCGGUCACGUCGGGUCCAGCGCCAGAGAGCAGCCGAGCAGUUCCAACCAAGCGCCAGCACGAGGAAAGCAGCGAAACCGAUCCUUUAGUCUUGGUCUUCCUCACUUCGGGAACCAUGCGGCCGCAGCAACGCUUAUCUUCUUCAUUAUAGUAUGUGUUUUCGUCAAAAAAAAAAUACGAGCGUAGAUGAGACAAAUGAUCGAGAGAAAUGCGAAGAGUGAGGGCCGUUCUUUACCUGAAAAAGGAAAACGUUUACCUCAGCAAAAUGCUGUCCUGCCUUGUCGCUGCGACGGUGUGUCUCAAAGAGUAUUUGUUCCGUUGCACUCGUUCCGGGCUGCUAUCGCAAACUGCCGCUCGGUUAGGACUAAAUACCUACGACAAAGUGGCAGUUAGUCGAACACGCGAAGGACUUUUCUUUUUUAUUAUUAUUAUUUUCGCAGCCGCUAUAGGUCGGCCGAGUCACGGGCGAUAAGCAAAACACAUCCAUCGAACACUUCUCUAUGGUUUCAUGCAUUCCCUAUAUGCUCUGAACAUACGUGAGUCCGCUCCGAACGCUAGUAUGUACCCCUCGGUAAUUUUUCAACGCACCCGUUGUAAUAUCAAGAUGACACGCACAAUUUAGAGCGUAGAGUUUUCCUCUCGAUAUCGCUUGAGAAUAUAUGCCACAUAUGACGCGUGUUCCAUAGUUGUGUGAACUAUCCUUCAAAGAAAUAAGCUCCCUCGAUAAGCGUUUGCUAAGACACCUAUGAUCGGAAAGCAAGUUGUUUACGUGGGCUUUUUCGUAAGCCACGCGAAAGAUAUGUAAGCCCACCCUCGCUAUUCUUUCAUACGACCGAGAUUUCCGUAACGUUUGGACCUCCCGAACACUCGACGGGCGGCUUGACGAAGUUCACGCCGAAGACAUAGUACAGCAAUGGCCAAACAGAAAAACUCAAGGUGUCAAAAGAAAAGAAAAAAAUUUAUUCAAGUGCCUCGCGAAACAGGGGCCUCGAAGUUAUUACAGUCAGUACAAGUUAGCCUGACACCAGAUUCAAUUCGUGCAGCAAUCUCCAUCGCGAAAAUUUAGAGCCAAGGGAGCUUUUUGACUGUUUCUCCUGUUCGCUAAGAAGCUGUGACCCAGGCUGCCGACACGCAAAUUUGUUACAAUACUCUCGCGGAAAGAAGAAGAAAGAAAAAGAAAACGACAAACUAGUGUGCGUUUGAAAUCGAGGGGCAGAAAAUUGCUUCCUGAACACGCAGACGAUUGCAAGCCACAGUUUUGCCGCCCAGCGCGACGUUUUUCAUGCAACAAAUCAGCAGCGCUACAAAACUCUGAGCCUACACGUGAGACACUCUCGCAACGUUCAGCACGGACAGGCUUUAGCUGAGUGAGAGACAGUUAUGUUGCAUAGGUGAAAGACGGCCGAUUGCUCCAAAUGCGCCAACUCGAACUGUUUUCUUUUUUUGUUGUAGUUGAAUCAGCUUAUUGCUUUUUCUCGAUCAGCCAUCAGCAUCUCACUACGUGCUCAUUGCAGGCAGGCGUCAAAUUCAAACUCGAGAAUUGUCCUAGAAAAAGCUGUCCGGCAUCAGAGUGUAGCAUUACGCGUUUGUCGCAGUAAAGAGAAUGAAAAAAAAAAUACGAUCAUAAUACAUAGACGCUAAAGCUGGCCAAGCAAGCACUCUAACGCAAGCAAGUUAACUCGUUCAGAGAUGUAGGAUUUGCUGUGCCUUUUUUGAAUAUAACAAAGUCAUUCCUGCACUGUAAAUAACACGUUUUUAUAGCAGCAGUUUCCCUAAACUUUUUGACUACAGCACCACCAGUCCAUAUAUAAAUAUAUAAAGAUAUAUAUUAUGUAUAGAUUAACUUCUAUAGGAACAGAGACCAUUUGCUCAUUUUAUCACUUCUGCUUCAGCAGACCUAUACUCUCCAGCAAUAUUAUCCUAAGGGUUAGUGACCAGUCCUACGUGCAGUCUCUAGGCACGUACGUCCUGUAGCUUUCUGGCGGCGUCAUUAAUCGCCGCUUUUGCCAGUUUACUCCUGAUCACCACUUCAUUCCCUCCGUGCUACGCACAGCCUCUAAACGCUGAUGUCUAUGGCCAGCCCUCCGCACUGCGGCCUCAAGAAUAGAGAGUUCGCGCGUGCGAGUAGAUCAUAGCCGCUUGUCUGUAUGUAGUCUAGCUACUUUACUUCCCGAGAAAGAACUCGGACGUCCCCAGAAGUCCCCUAGUUCGCCCUUCUGGAUCCCGCCGGCGCUUCACGUAGAGUGCGCAGUUCUAUUGAAACGCGAUACUCAGAGCGCACGGCUGGCGGCACUUUUUGCGCCACUGAAGAACAAUGGGCGAUCGCUGGGAGACUAAAUGCAGUCAUAAUGCGUCACAAAGAUAACUGAUUUCAUUGUGUACCACGAUACCUCGUUGUCCCCAGCAUCCACCGGUAGCGCGAAAGACGGCGGUAGCCACGCUCUCCGAGUGUCGUGUCUCAAUAUAUAGCAAUUAAAUAUGUAAUUUGGCCCGCCACACAUAAAGGUUAUCGAGAGAGAGAGAGAGAGAGAGAGAGAGAGAGAGAGAGAGAGAGAGCCUGAAAUGCAGCUGACACGCUGCGAGUGAAGCCGAGGUGUCAUUUUACCAUGGGAAUUAGAGCAGUUGCGCCCAGCAGCCCGCAGGAGGAGUGUCUCGCCUCACUAUACAGGUUAGUAAAUUGGGCCAUGCAAUUCUUGCUCCAUAUCUCUACCUAUGUGCCACAAGUUUUCCACAAACAAUUGAAUAUCGAGACAAGUUUUAUCGUCUGCAGCGUAAUCCAUAUUUCAACCAGAGUAAGUAGUCUUUCUGAAAACAGCUGCAGUCGUUUCUUUUUAUUAAACUACCGUUCGGCCGAGAAAAAGCACUUGCGCUACGCGCGCCCUCGCACCGGCGGGGCCUUCGUCUAGAUACAACAAUGCGCUUGCCCGCGGCUUCGCAUCUUCACGUAAGCAGCUGCUGGGGCUGCCAUUUCAGGAAUCCUCUCGAUGACCUCGUCGAGCUCGACUGCGAGUACGCGUGUUGCCAAGCUGCAGAUCGACCCAACCGACACGCGCGAGCGCUGCUUUCGCGGCCUCGUGUUCAAUAUUCAGAGAGCAACAGAAGUCGCGAACCUGGUGCACAGUUCACAAAGCUUUUCGUUCGUAAGAACUGUUUGUCAGAGGACGGUCGCCUUCGCUGAUCCCUACCACAACAUCCUGGCGCAUCUGCUUACCGACCACACUAUAGCGUAUGCGAAUUGUUUCUUGAAUACGGGCCCUGAUGCGGGGCUGACCAAGGCCGCGCGCGUCUGAGCCGCAACAAGAAGUCGGCUGGCUUGAGCACCCGCAAUUCAGCCUUCAGACUCACGCGACGGACGUCAUAAUUUCCUGUCAACCCAUUUGAAGCGGCCGUUUCAAAUUUAAGGUAGAUCAAUCAACGGCAGCAGAACGCACUUGAAAGUUGUCACGCGCAAGACGGUAACCAGAGUCCUUCAAUACUUCCGCUCUAACUAUACUGACAUAACUAAUAAAGCAAACCGCAGCUGUACUGAAUCUGGCGGCACUGCGACUUAAUGAUCUCCGAUGACUGCGCAGAUUUUUUUUUUUUUCGAGCUUUGCGUUACGAAAAAAAAAGGCAGCAAUUAAACCGCGAGAGCGUCCGCGCGUGUCUAAAGGGUCGAAAAAACAAGGGGAGAUGCCGUCGACGGGCCAUCGCAAACUGAAGCGAGGGUCUUGCAGUACUCCUUUAGACAUCGUCUUCUCACUGCUGUCACUUUUAAGCUCGGGUACUAAAUGUGAUAUACAUUUUCCAGUGCGUUAGCCCCCGAUUCGAGGCGCUAAUUGUGAUUAAAACACCGCGUUCGUGUUUAUUCAGCUUCUGCAGAGCUCUGCGCUUGUGCUCGCGCGGGCUGUGAAUUGUACCUAGUGUUCAACCCCGUGAGCUGACCUCUUGACUCGUGUAACGUCAUCGUGAGCAGGCACACGGAAACAUGCAUCACCCUUUCAUUUCUAAUGCUCUCAAUAAUGAGAGUAUCUGGUGCUUCCGUUUCUCAUUAGUUUAGGCUACCAGUGUACAAGGUUCUGCGGCACAGUGAUCAAUUUCGACGCGACGAAGUCUAAAGGUUGCUAUAGUCACUGUUCGCCGCCUAUGUUACAAGGCGCGUCCAUGAUCACCUGAACGACUAGCCAGGUGGAAUUUUGUACAAAGUGUUUUCUUUGCCGUACUGCAUCAGGUGGUUAAUAACGCACAGCGAAAUUUGCGUUUUUGCCUUACGUACUCUAUUCGCUUAUAGCCACAGCAUCAAUGUUAAAAAAAAAAAGAUAACCAUGGAGCAUGUACCGUACAUCUCGUCGCUUAAUAAGUGCGGCAGCUUAUCUGUCCAUAUUUUGACGCUGGCCCGUUUAGCACGCGGACAAAGUUUCAUAUUGAUUUAUUUGCCCUUCUAUUAUAUUAUACUUUGGGGCAGUGACUUGUGAGACGUAUUUUUCUUUCCGGCGAAAAGGCUGAGCUAGACGCUUCGAAAUAGCACAUUAUUAGCACAAAAGUGGAGCAUUUUGAUUAACCGCGAUGUCGAGAAAGAAACGUAAGCCUAUAACCUCAUACGGCACCAAUAUCGAAACAUUUUCUGCUCUAUUGAGAUAUGUCUCAAAUACGACUACAAGAGGCAUUACGAUGCAAUUAAGUUAUGCAGAAAACCCGGCAUACGUACGUGCUUACUACGACUUCUGUGGAAUAUGGGCGCACGUUGUUACGUUUUAUUAUCAGUAUUGACAUAUCUUACACCUCAACGCGAACGCCUGUCUCUCGAUCUUCGCGAUUUCUUGUUGCGAACAGAAGAAAUCCCAUGCAUCUGCUCCCCGCAACGGUUUCCAAUGCCAAAAACAAAAAGCUCCUUCACACUAGCGAUACGCCCCCACUUUCCUUGCAUGCAAGAAAACUUUCUUGUUGCGCUACCACUCGCUUUGUUUGACCAAACAUCGUCUGCUGCUUCGACGCAGAAGCAGCUUUUCUUCUUUUUCUAAAUUAGUGCGUAGCGUCUUUUUCACACCCCGUGAGGAGACCUCUUGCAGCCGAGUGCAGGCCGAGCGCUUCCCUGUGCUUCAAGGCAGAUCUUGACGACCUUGCAGUAUAUUUAUGUGUAGAUCUACAAAGAUCAUAGCGCGUAGAAAAUCUUCCUCGGUUUCCUUUCUUUCCUCACUUUUACUUUGAAAGAAAGAAAAGGAAGAAAGAAAAGCUCCUAUAUCUCAGUAACUAGCACGCUACAUAUGUUUAAUAACAUAUACAGUGUAUACAAGCUUCUGCCUUGCGAUGACUCGACGCGAGACGGGACGGCCUUUUGCCGGCAGACAUACAAACGAACAUGAAAAUAAAAAGCGACAGUUUCAGUCAAUAUUUCGUGCUGCAGCAGGUACAGAGACGCACAUCGAAGCGAUAGCACAAUAGCGUCGGUGUCCGACGGUAACCAAACGCAACAAAAGAUCAAACGCAUAAGUUAGCGCAUGACGAAAUGUAUUUUCUCCUAAGAAAGAGUGAGCGGAGAGUGCGGGAGGGAUUGCUAUUUGUUGGCGCAUGACUCUCUGUCCGAAUGCAGGCUGUCAGGCACUGAACUGUCCGGUCUACCCAAAGUGUUUGCUGCAGAUGCGAGAAAAAAAGCAGACGAUACACUAACCAAAGAAGAGGCGCAGUCUGAGAUGCCGCAGCUGAAAGGGUCUACGUACUGCACAGUGUAUAGCUUUAGCUCCAGUGUUGGUGUCUCCUUACCUUAUACUUCAACAAGAACGACAGGCGACAGGCUUCUUCAAACGUGAGGCAAAAGGAUGCUGUUGCACAGUUAAGUGGACAGAUGGUAUGCUAAUCAGGAAGUUGAAGGACGAGUACGAAAACAGCUGGUGGAACUGAACAUUUCUGUAAGAGGUUGUGAGUGUACCUGCUCUUAAAGAGACCCAGGUCAAGGAGUCCAUUCAGCGCUCAGCCCAGCCACAUAUGAGCAUAUCGUCAAAAUACAUCGUCCGCCAAGACGCUGGGGAAGCACCAAAGAAUCGCUCGCGUGUAUGACUCGCGCUAAGCAGCUGCUGCUCAGCGUGCACUAAAUGCGCGUGUAUGUAUUUACUAGUUUGGCACCGAGUGUGUCUUGAAAAGUGUGACUGCGCUUGUGUAGCUUGCGUCGCUUGACCAAACAAAAAACAGCUCGCAAAACCACUGCGCGUUCACUACACUACGGUAGGAUAGGUGCAAUAUAUAUUUUUUCUAUGGUGCUCGAUAUCUCACGGCCGCCCACACACGCAGCGGUCUCUACAUUGUUCUUGUUUUGUUUGUUUUUUUCUUAUUUCCGCUGCCUCGCUGCUGCCGCUGUCCCCCGGUAGCAAGGCCAGUGACAGCACAGAGAAAAGUUCCAACAGCGGCCCACACAUCCCACCGAAGCCGCUUUUCCCGACGCCCGCGUAGGCUGUUUCAGCAACGACACGUGUGUGCGCGCAGCAGCUUCGCUUCCUUGUAUGCGUUUGCCCUCCGGCUGCGCAAAGCGCACACAAUCACUGUAGCGCGUCAAAUUUCGUCCACUCAUAGGCCGACCCCACUUGCACAUAGCGACCGCUCCCAAUCAUGGCCACAUGGGCGCUGCCUGUGCAGCAUAGACAUGCUAAUGUCGAGGCAUCGGUCGACGCUUUCCCGAAUCAUUGCAAAGUGACAGAAUAGGAGCGUGCCUGUCACAGCCGGUUCGAAACGACCUGCCAUGCUUUGGUCACACGGCCAAAAACGACGAGAGGGACCGAGAUUUUCGACACCGCCGCUCGGGCCAGAUCCAGUGCCUCGAGCACAAACAUGCGACUAAAACAGGCUCGUAUUAUGCGUAGCUCAUUUGUCAUGUAAAGGAAAUGCAUGCGAGUGAGAGGCAAUGUCGAGGAAAACAGACAGUUUUCGGCAGCUUUCUCUGCGAGUUAAUCCGCAAGUGAGCACGUUUUUGGAGGCGUCGCGCGAGUACCGCACGUCGCUGUUGGCAACGGAAGAGAGAUUUCUCGAAAGCUAGGACAGCCUCCUCUUCAAUGUUCUCGAUGACAACUGGAUGGCCCUGUUCAUGGCUGACUGCAGAGAGCUAGAGGGGAAGACAGGGAGGCUAACCGGAAAUGUAUACGGUUCGCCACCCUACUCGCAGUAGGGAAAAAAAAUGGGAUGGGAGUAGAAAGUAAAGAGAAGAUAGCAAUAGGGGGACGUUCCACCUAGUUUUGUAACACCGUAGAGCCGGGCCAUAUACGGCAAGCAAAAUGAAAGCGUUCCGCCGUCACGGGUAGGUAUAGCCAUGAGAGGUAAGUAAACAUUGACACCCGUCUAUAAAUGCUAGGCAUUGCGAGUCGGUUGCGUUCCGGUGUUUCCGUAUCGUGAAAAACGAAGAGUGAGAGCUUCCCACUUGCUGCCCUCGUCCUAGAGGGCAGUUCAAGUAAGCACGAUCAAACGGCGCCUGGGCGCGUGCAUGCUUACACCGGUGCUUAUGCGGCGGGUAUCGCAGCCUAUAUAAUAGCGUGCUCGUGGUUUCCUUUAGCCAGUGUGGUGCACCUUACUUGAUGUCUACACAAUCUUAUGUCGGUGCUUGGAACGUUACUGACCGCAUUAUAGUUUUGUAGUAGAGUGCGACGCGAACAGGCAGUUGCUUUUUACUGUCUACGCUAUAUUUACUAUCAAAACGUGACAGCCCUUGGAAGCGUCCCUCUAGCGUGCACAACUGGUUAAGUGGUUGUUGUCCAUGACUAUUAAGGGUUGUGCAGGCACCGUUGCGAACGCUGUCUGAGUGUGUGUGUGUGUUUUCAGUGCUGUAAGAUCUGUGUUUCCCGGACAACAGUUACGCAUCCUUCGCGAAUGUCCAACCCGAAUUGCGCAAACGAGUGUGUUUCGUGCAGAUUCAAAUAAAUGAACAUGGCCAUGCAUAA